GGAAUCUUCCACAAUGGACGCAAGUCCGAUGGAGCAACGCCGCGUGAGUGAAGAAGGUUUUCGGAUCGUAAAGCUCUGUUGUUGGUGAAGAAGGAUAGAGGCAGUAACUGGUCUUUAUUUGACGGUAAUCAACCAGAAAGUCACGGCUAACUACGUGCAAG
RNAcentral lists this ribosomal RNA (161 nucleotides) under uncultured bacterium. Its description in RNAcentral is "partial 16S rRNA". It matches the Rfam family "Bacterial small subunit ribosomal RNA", at positions 358 to 511 of the family's 1533-position model. The record is from RNAcentral.